UAUUUUUGAUACAUGUUCGAGGAAAAUAUUAAAUAUUUACAGUGAUUCCUCUGGAACUCUGCCUUGAACAAUACCCUUCUGGAAGGAGCCAGGAAGCCACGCGGCUGUGUUCACCUGAGAGGGGAGCACUGUGCGCAUGCUUCAUGUUUGCUCACCACAAUUCUGAAAACUGGGAAGUCCAGCGUCCCCCCUCCUGCAUACAGCCUCCCGUCCCCUUCCUGCGCCCAGACCAUCAAUCACAACCUUCCCCUUGGUCCUGGCAGGGCCCCCAGCACAGGCACGCCCUCGAAGCAGCUUACUGGAUAACCUCCCUGCAGGCCUUCCCUGAGCUGGAAUCACUUGCUCCUUGGACCGAGGGCUCCGGCAGUCCGCACUGACUCCCACAUGCUGACCUCACCCAGCCAAUUGUCCUGAUCACAUGCCCCGUCUCCAUCUCCCCUGGAAACCUAGCUGCAGCACCUGGCGCCCUGCCCAGCACCUGGCAGGCAUUCAGGGACAAGGCCUCCAGCCUUCCCGAGCUAUGGCUUUGGCUUCUUCAGGCUAAUACAGCCAUCCGGUUCUUUGAAAUCUCCCUUCAAUGACCACUCCCUUCCUGCCCCUGCCUGUGCGCAUUCUGCAAACCAGGGGAGCCACAUCUCAGCAGAAGCGAGAGUCCAGGCAUCGGAGGCAGCUUGUCUUGUGUCCCUGGGCUCAACCGUCUGGGUCUUAAGGCGCUGUGCCCUGCGGGCUUCCAGCCGGCCACGGAGACUCAGCUGUACCUGCAGGCAGCGGCCGCAGGGUGAGGGCCGGGCCAGCAACCUCCCCCCACUUGACAGAGGGCACGGACCCUACAGAGGAUUCGCUGGGAGGC
Long non-coding RNA from Ailuropoda melanoleuca (giant panda), 850 nucleotides. RefSeq lists it as uncharacterized. The transcript has 6 exons. NCBI's taxonomy places the organism in Eukaryota, Metazoa, Chordata, Mammalia, Carnivora, Ursidae. The record is from RefSeq and is a predicted model, not a curated record.